UACGUAGGUGGCAAGCGUUGUCCGGAUUUAUUGGGUUUAAAGGGUGCGUAGGCGGCCUUAUAAGUCAGUGCUGAAAUAUCCCGGCUUAACCGGGAGGGUGGCAUUGAUACUGUAGGGCUUGAGUAAAGUUGAGGUUGGCGGAAUUGACGGUGUAGCGGUGAAAUGCUUAGAUAUCGUCAAGAACACCGAUAGUGAAGACAGCUAACUAAGCUUUAACUGACGCUGAGGCACGAAAGUGUGGGGAUCAAACAGGAUUAGAUACCCCGUAGUCC
Molecule: ribosomal RNA, 272 nt
Filed under: uncultured bacterium
Lineage: Bacteria
Description: partial 16S ribosomal RNA
Rfam family: Bacterial small subunit ribosomal RNA
Source: RNAcentral